Molecule: long non-coding RNA, 310 nt
Filed under: Ananas comosus (pineapple)
Lineage: Eukaryota; Viridiplantae; Streptophyta; Magnoliopsida; Poales; Bromeliaceae
Description: long non-coding RNA (ACOM_LNC020722)
Source: RNAcentral
UAAUUGCAUAGUAUUGACUACGUACGCACUAUCUAGUCAUAAAUUUUCAGCAGAUAAAUCUACCCUUUGGACUAUUUCCAUCCGUUAAAUCAUACUAUUCAAUUAACCACCCACUCAAUUCUCGAGGACUACUAUUAUCCUAAUUGGAGACCACUAUCAUUCUAACCGCACAUCCUUUCAUCCAACGACAGAAAAUUUAUGAAUACGUAUCUUAAUCCAAAGACCAAAAAUUGUUAUAUAUAACAGAGUUGAGUCGUUAUAGAGGGUUAGGGUGAACAAGAAAACACGCUUGUAGAGGCGGUCUAAACCG